Hyla sarda is the source of this 943-nucleotide long non-coding RNA. RefSeq lists it as uncharacterized. The transcript is spliced from 4 exons. The record is from RefSeq and is a predicted model, not a curated record. Lineage: Eukaryota; Metazoa; Chordata; Amphibia; Anura; Hylidae.
CUUAUCUGCCCGUUCUAUAGAUCUCAGCACUCUCUAUAGCUGAACAUAGCGAGAAAAUAUCAGUGUCAAUAAUAAGGAAAACGUGCCAGCACCCGCUAGGUGUGUCCAAGGAAGCCGUAGCCUGACUCCCUGUAUUUGAUAAAUGGCGGCGAUCAGAAGGAAACAACAAUUGAUGGUCAAUCCUACAGAUCGAUGCGUAUUCCUGGACCAUUGUCCUCCAUUAGAAGCAGAUAUAGGCCUUAGGUGAAGACAAGAUGGUGCAGACAAUAAACAGAGGCCCCGGCCAGAACCUGGGGAGCAUCACAACAGUCGAAUCUCAAAGCUUCCUUAGGAGACGAGCUGUACUCACUAUUCUGCUGGUGAGAUCUGCGCUGAAAUUCUGCCGUUUGAAAAUAACCUCAGGUAUGUCCACACUAAGGAACUGAGGAGGAAUUAUUUUGGUCAGAACAUUCGGCAAAUUCUGCUUGGGACGAAAUAGGCAAGGAAAUGGUGUGGAAUUUGAAGAGGAAAACAAGAGGAGGAUCAGGAAAUGCUGUGGAGGAAUUUCUGUCACUUUGAGGUUUGAUCCAUGUGGAAAGUCUACGUCCUUUCUGCUCCCAACUUAAUUUGUCAGGAAAAAUAAACCCAAUGGGCUUCUACCCGCGGAUUCCGCCAGAAAAUAAACCUGUUCAAUCUUUUGGCGGAAUACGAUUCCAUGUCGGAAUUCCAUCCGCAGAAAUUCCUCAGUAUAACCAGAUUGUCACAAAGACCAUUAAAGUCAAUAGAACUUUAAUUAAAGGCAGAAUUGGAGUGGAAUACUGGCAUGGAAUUAGGCAAGUAAAUUCCUUGUCAAUUCCUUAGUAUGAACCUACCUAUAUGCUUGCCAGUUUUUCCUCAUUUCAAUUGGUUACAAGCUGACUAAUUUAUCCCACCAGAUAGGAGCCAUUGUAGAUAGAUAGAUAGA